AGUGAACGCUGGCGGUAGGCCUAACACAUGCAAGUCGAACGGCAGCACAGUAAGAGCUUGCUCUUACGGGUGGCGAGUGGCGGACGGGUGAGGAAUACAUCGGAAUCUACUAUUUCGUGGGGGAUAACGUAGGGAAACUUACGCUAAUACCGCAUACGACCUACGGGUGAAAGCAGGGGAUCUUCGGACCUUGCGCGAUUGAAUGAGCCGAUGUCGGAUUAGCUAGUUGGCGGGGUAAAGGCCCACCAAGGCGACGAUCCGUAGCUGGUCUGAGAGGAUGAUCAGCCACACUGGAACUGAGACACGGUCCAGACUCCUACGGGAGGCAGCAGUGGGGAAUAUUGGACAAUGGGCGCAAGCCUGAUCCAGCCAUACCGCGUGGGUGAAGAAGGCCUUCGGGUUGUAAAGCCCUUUUGUUGGGAAAGAAAAGCAGCAGGUUAAUACCCCGCUGUUCUGACGGUACCCAAAGAAUAAGCACCGGCUAACUUCGU
Molecule: ribosomal RNA, 491 nt
Filed under: uncultured bacterium
Lineage: Bacteria
Description: partial 16S ribosomal RNA
Rfam family: Bacterial small subunit ribosomal RNA
Source: RNAcentral